UAGGGAAUAUUGGACAAUGGGCGAAAGCCUGAUCCAGCAAUGCCGCGUGAGUGAUGAAGGCCUUAGGGUUGUAAAGCUCUUUUACCCGGGAUGAUAAUGACAGUACCGGGAGAAUAAGCCCCGGCUAACUCCGUGCCAGCAGCCGCGGUAAUACGGAGGGGGCUAGCGUUGUUCGGAAUUACUGGGCGUAAAGCGCACGUAGGCGGCGAUUUAAGUCAGAGGUGAAAGCCCGGGGCUCAACCCCGGAAUAGCCUUUGAGACUGGAUUGCUUGAACAUCGGAGAGGUGAGUGGAAUUCCGAGUGUAGAGGUGAAAUUCGUAGAUAUUCGGAAGAACACCAGUGGCGAAGGCGGCUCACUGGACGAUUGUUGACGCUGAGGUGCGAAAGCGUGGGGAGCAAACA
RNAcentral lists this ribosomal RNA (402 nucleotides) under uncultured Sphingobium sp. RNAcentral describes it as "bacterial SSU rRNA". It matches the Rfam family "Bacterial small subunit ribosomal RNA", at positions 355 to 774 of the family's 1533-position model. Lineage: Bacteria; Pseudomonadati; Pseudomonadota; Alphaproteobacteria; Sphingomonadales; Sphingobiaceae. The record is from RNAcentral.